Leptonychotes weddellii (Weddell seal) is the source of this 73-nucleotide non-coding RNA. The record is from the annotation of a RefSeq genome assembly. NCBI's taxonomy places the organism in Eukaryota, Metazoa, Chordata, Mammalia, Carnivora, Phocidae.
ACCUGGCUGGCUUAGUUGGUAGAGCAUGCGACCUAAGAUCUCAAGGUCGUGAGUUCAAGCCCCACGUUGGGUG